Non-coding RNA from Pelobates cultripes (western spadefoot toad), 374 nucleotides. The record is from the annotation of a GenBank genome assembly. Lineage: Eukaryota; Metazoa; Chordata; Amphibia; Anura; Pelobatidae.
AGUAGCCAAGGGCCUAGAAUCUGUUUUACAACCCACACAGCGCAGGGCUAGCCCACUGAUGUACACCGCCCCCACACCUAUCGCUAGUUCUAAUCAGGUCCCCCAGGUAUUCCCCCAACAGUACACUCAAUCACCCCACGCACUGCCUGCGCCAAUCCCUUUCCCCCGGGACCGGACCAUUAUGACAAUCCGGACCUGUUUUAAUUGCAAUCAGCCAGGCCACUUCAGAAGAGAUUGCCCACAGCCUAGGGUGUUCCGCCAGCCUAGUCCCCGGUACCAAGGUCCCCAUGUCACCGGCCAUAACUACCCUUCCCCUGGUUACCUCCCCGCCCUUCCCCAUCCACAUUUGCCUCAGCUUCCUCCUCCUCCUCCCC